AGUGAACGCUGGCGGCAGGCCUAAUACAUGCAAGUCGAACGGCAGCACAGCAGAGCUUGCUCUGUGGGUGGCGAGUGGCGGACGGGUGAGGAAUACGUGGGAAUCUGCCCAGUCGUGGGGGAUAACGUAGGGAAACUUACGCUAAUACCGCAUGCGCCCUUCGGGGGAAAGCCGGGGACCUUCGGGCCUGGCGCGAUUGGAUGAGCCCACGUCGGAUUAGCUAGUUGGCGGGUAAAGGCCCACCAAGGCGACGAUCCGUAGCUGGUCUGAGAGGAUGAUCAGCCACACUGGAACUGAGACACGGUCCAGACUCCUACGGGAGGCAGCAGUAGGGAAUAUUGGACAAUGGGCGCAAGCCUGAUCCAGCCAUGCCGCGUGAGUGAAGAAGGCCCUCGGGUUGUAAAGCUCUUUUGUCCGGAAAGAAAGCGCCGGGUUAAUACCCUGGUGUCCUGACGGUACCGGAAGAAUAAGCACCGGCUAACUUCGUGCCAGCAGCCGCGGUAAU
Molecule: ribosomal RNA, 505 nt
Filed under: uncultured bacterium
Lineage: Bacteria
Description: bacterial SSU rRNA
Rfam family: Bacterial small subunit ribosomal RNA
Source: RNAcentral